Molecule: long non-coding RNA, 384 nt
Organism: Ictalurus punctatus (channel catfish)
Lineage: Eukaryota; Metazoa; Chordata; Actinopteri; Siluriformes; Ictaluridae
Exons: 3
Source: RefSeq, a predicted model, not a curated record
GUUGCCGCCAGCGCGAGCACACACCGAGGCGUGGAGGAGAAGAAACGCGGAGACGCGUCAGACCGAUCUUAUCCGCGUGCGAUCAAAUAAAACAGAGCGCGCGCCUGCUUUCCGAUCUGGCAACCCUGAGGGAUGCUUUGAAUGUGUGCUGAUGUGGGUCAGUGCACCGAUGGGCUUCUCUUUCACAUGGGUGUGUCCAUGCCUUGUGCAAUAAUGCAGUCCUGGAGGGAAUGUUCGUAAACUCUGUGUUAACAGAAAAGACCAAACCAAAUCGUUUUGUGUUUAAUGGCGAUGUAUUGAUGCACAGCGCCCUGUUGAAGCGAUUCCUGUACAGAAGUUGCACACUCCGUAACAUUUUUGAUUAAAGGUGCGGUUUGAAAUGUA